UGGAGACUGCUAGUAAUCCCCAGUAAAAAUAAACAUGUUAAUAAUCAAGUAUUUUUGACUCUAAGAGAUUAGUGGUAGUGACAUUGGAGACAAGUGGCAGAUUUGGGAUAGGAUUUUGCUGAGGGAAGCAUGGCUCCGGAUGGGUACUGGCUCCUGCUCUUAAGUUAUUCCAGGAAGUGUAAUGGAAAACAUUUGUAGAGCAGACAGAAGGUUUUGCAGUACUGAUUGCACUUAUUAGAGAAGUACAGCUUUAUGAUAAAAUGAGUUUAGAGUACAGAAACUAGAUAACAUUAGAAAAUUUUAGCAUGUCAGGAGCUUUAAUGCUGGAACUAGUAAUAGGACAAUCAAAAUUAAUGAACAGUGGACUCCUAGGAAUUAUCAGAAACGUAGAAUAAGCCAUUUUAAUUCUGAGAGCAACCUUAUGCUAGAGCAAGAGUUUAGGACUGAGGGGAAAAGUUGAUUUUAAAUAACAUUGGUGUUUUCUCUUAAAUGUUCUUUGAAUUUGGUGAAUGUUUAUUGAGUUCUUACUAUGUAGCAGGUAUUUUAACAGAAGACAGUUGGUUCAUAAAGUAGCUUAUUUGUUCUAGUUUCUUAAUGAUUUUCUCACUUUAACUUAUAUAAAGCAAUGAUUACUGGUUAAUAGUUUAUUUUAUUAUUAGAAGGUGGUUCUCUGUGAUAUCUCAUUGAUGCCCUUACUACUUUAACCAUUGACAUAUUUUAGUGCUUAAUCUGAAUUGUAGGUAAAAUCCUAAUUUUCAGAUUAGAGCAAUGCUGCUAAAAGAAUGGAGACCAUAGUAAACAGUUUCAUAGUUCAGAAGGAAAAAAAUGAAAUAUUUUUUAAAAUGUAUUUUU
RNAcentral lists this long non-coding RNA (852 nucleotides) under Bos taurus (domestic cattle). RNAcentral's name for it is "long non-coding RNA NONBTAT000304". Lineage: Eukaryota; Metazoa; Chordata; Mammalia; Artiodactyla; Bovidae. The record is from RNAcentral.